GGUUGUGGCUCAGUGGUAGAGCGCAUGCCUAGCGCCUGUGAGGCCCUAGGUUUGAUUCUCAGCACCA
Molecule: transfer RNA, 67 nt
Filed under: Marmota monax (woodchuck)
Lineage: Eukaryota; Metazoa; Chordata; Mammalia; Rodentia; Sciuridae
Description: tRNA.Ala
Source: RNAcentral